Molecule: long non-coding RNA, 1910 nt
Organism: Columba livia (rock pigeon)
Lineage: Eukaryota; Metazoa; Chordata; Aves; Columbiformes; Columbidae
Exons: 5
Source: RefSeq, a predicted model, not a curated record
CUUAGAGCCUUGUUUAGGUUUGUACAAACAAGUAUAAAGCCCUCAGUAUUAGCUGUUUGUUUUCUUUGGCUCUACAGCCAAGUAGGUAUCAACAGACGUUAAACUUUGGACAUUCUGACUUGCACACAAAGGAGAACACAAGCAUAUUUUUAAAUCGUGAUUACUUCAGGUCGUAAACAUAUACAAAGCAAACAUUACCGAGUCAUGUAAGGAUGUGUGAUGUGUGUCACUCAGCAAAACACCUCCUAGCAAACUUGCUCUUCUUUCCUCCUUCUCUGCCCAUUCUUUGACAGGCUAAUUGCAAAGCUCCAAGUUGUGUUUGAAGUGCUGCCUUUAAAAUCAGAGUGCUACAGUCUAGCCCUGCUUAUAGCAAUACUGCAGGGAAAAGAAAUGUAUUAAUGUAUUUUCUGAUUGCAAAAGUACUAAUUUAACCUGAAAAUCAGCUAUAGCCAUGCUUCUUAAGAAAUUUCUGACGCAGAAUUUUCUGUUAUGCUGUUGCAAAAACCACUUGAAAGGGUAAAGGAAAAGAGAGUGUGUAUAAUAAGGUCAAGCGUAUUGCUCUGUGGUUGUAUUCUCAAAACAAAACACUGGGGUGUUCCCAGAAGGUGGAGAUAGCAUUGCAAGGCCUGGAAAUGCUGUAAAAUGGAGGAAAUCAGAGGAAAACACUGAAGGGACUCAGGGUGAUUUCUUAAAAACCGUGGCGGACCCUGCAUGCACGGUCGGUGCUGCCAGUGCCGUGGUCAGUGAUACACGGGGGGUGUUAAUCCUCGCGGGGCUGAACCUCCUGCUUCUGGUCUUGAACUCGGGGGAAAUCCUUGACCUGAGUGAAGGAGAGAAGAUGCCGAUGGCUGCUUUUGUCACACGACUCAGACCCCGGCAGAGAGAGAGAGAUGUUAAAAAUGAACUAAUGAGCGUUGUUAACAACAACAAAACCGCUGCCUCCAGGCGAAGUUUUGCCAGCUUCAGUUUUCGUCGCUUUCAGCUCAAUAUACCAAUUAAACCGUGACCGAAACAGAAAAUGUUAUAGUUUUAUUUUUAAAGAACAUAAACAAUAACAUUUUAUAAAUGCAGCAGCUUCCCUUUCUCCAGAAGGAAUGAAUACUUCGGCUUCCUUCACGAGAUGCAGUUGCCUAGAGGUGUUCAGCUACUGCCCCAGCUUUGUGAUCCCCACAGCACAUAUGCCUAAGAAAUACAAUCCUCAUGCUAUUGUCUGCGUUCCUUUCCAAAUACGUUUGCAAUUGCAGGCAUGAAAAACAGCUGGAGAUGGGAACAUUUGUUGGCUUUAAAACUUGUGGGAUGACAGCUCAGCCUGACUUCCAGCACAAAUGAUCAGGGGAAGAACUGAUUCUGCCAGAGAAUACGGGAUCCCACAUCCACACGUGAAGGACUCUGCUGAGCCUUGGUGUGCAAACCUAGUGUCCAACCACGCUCAUGUCCCCCUUGCAAAGGUCAUUGAGGCGACGGGAGGACCUCGUCUUGCAGCAGGACAUCUCCUGGGGGACACCAGAAUACAGAAUGGAAGCAAUUUCCAGAAAGCACAGCAAGUAUUAAAACAUGCGGAAGCGCAGGGAACGGGGAAAAAAAUAUCCCAGCUGUUACUCGGCUCUCCUGAAUAUAUUGUGGCAGCUCAAAUAUUCAUCGAGUCCUGACUGUUCCAAACAAGGAGGCAAAUUCUGAAGUUUUAAUUAUAUGAGGAAUGACCUAGAAUGGGAAAGAAGUCUUGACACCCAGAGCCCAUGUGCGAGAGGUCUCCAAACCCCAGAGUGCUCCCCUUGGAGGUGCUUUGGCUGGAAAUCAAAGCCAGGAUUUUCAGAAGUGACUACCGAUUGCUGAUACCUUGAGUGUACAAAACAAAUCCAAGAAGUAGCAGACAGAAAUCUUUCUCCUCCCCCAGAGGACAGAACACUCCC